GAUGAACGCUGGCGGCGUGCCUAAUACAUGCAAGUCGAGCGAACGGACGAGAAGCUUGCUUUUCUGAUGUUAGCGGCGGACGGGUGAGUAACACGUGGAUAACCUACCUAUAAGACUGGGAUAACUUCGGGAAACCGGAGCUAAUACCGGAUAAUAUUUUGAACCGCAUGGUUCAAAAGUGAAAGACGGUCUUGCUGUCACUUAUAGAUGGAUCCGCGCUGCAUUAGCUAGUUGGUAAGGUAACGGCUUACCAAGGCAACGAUGCAUAGCCGACCUGAGAGGGUGAUCGGCCACACUGGAACUUAGACACGGUCCAGACUCCUACGGGAGGCAGCAGUAGGGAAUCUUCCGCAAUGGGCGAAAGCCUGACGGAGCAACGCCGCGUGAGUGAUGAAGGUCUUCGGAUCGUAAAACUCUGUUAUUAGGGAAGAACAUAUGUGUAAGUAACUGUGCACAUCUUGACGGUACCUAAUCAGAAAGCCACGGCUAACUACGUG
This 497-nucleotide ribosomal RNA is filed under the name uncultured bacterium. Its description in RNAcentral is "partial 16S ribosomal RNA". It matches the Rfam family "Bacterial small subunit ribosomal RNA", at positions 28 to 507 of the family's 1533-position model. The record is from RNAcentral.